ACGAAGGGUGCAAGCGUUAAUCGGAAUUACUGGGCGUAAAGGGUGCGUAGGCGGUUCGUUAAGUCUGUCGUGAAAUCCCCGGGCUCAACCUGGGAAUGGCGAUGGAUACUGGCGAGCUAGAGUGUGUCAGAGGAUGGUGGAAUUCCCGGUGUAGAGGUGAAAUUCGUAGAUAUUCGCAAGAACACCAGUGGCGAAGGCGGCUCACUGGCCCGGCACUGACGCUGAGGUGCGAAAGCGUGGGGAGCAAACAGGA
RNAcentral lists this ribosomal RNA (253 nucleotides) under uncultured prokaryote. RNAcentral's name for it is "partial 16S ribosomal RNA". It matches the Rfam family "Bacterial small subunit ribosomal RNA", at positions 525 to 777 of the family's 1533-position model. The record is from RNAcentral.